GCCUGUGUUACCACCUCCUGAACAGCCUCAUAUGGUAGUGAUGCUUCCACGAUGACAAAAUCACCACCACUUACUAUGCCCACAUGGAAAGUCACAGUUAGCUGAUCUGGUUUUCCUACUCUUGCCUACCUGACUCUGGUUCCCAUGGAGGUUUCAGCUGGGGGAAGAUGGCAGAAGAGUAGAGGACAUGUGUUUCAUCUGGUCCCUUGAAUUCAACUAGUCAUCUAUCAAAUCAUUCUGAACACCUGUGAAUUCAACCUGAGAUCUAAGAAAAGAAUUGCUGGAAUUGUACAAGUAGAAAAACAACUACUUUUUUGUAAGCAUGGAAAACCUCCAGGGAACAAAAGCUAUGUAAAGCAACAUGAAGCAGCUUAUACCUUGCCCCCUAGUACAGGAUGGUGCAACUCCCCCCACACAAAUACACCUGAGAAUCAGUGCACCAGGCUCUUUCCCUAGAAGACCA
Molecule: long non-coding RNA, 463 nt
Organism: Canis lupus familiaris (dog)
Lineage: Eukaryota; Metazoa; Chordata; Mammalia; Carnivora; Canidae
Exons: 4
Source: RefSeq, a predicted model, not a curated record